RNAcentral lists this ribosomal RNA (448 nucleotides) under uncultured bacterium. Its description in RNAcentral is "partial 16S ribosomal RNA". It matches the Rfam family "Bacterial small subunit ribosomal RNA", at positions 29 to 523 of the family's 1533-position model. The record is from RNAcentral.
AACGAACGCUGGCGGCAUGCCUAACACAUGCAAGUCGAACGAGAUCUUCGGGUCUAGUGGCGCACGGGUGCGUAACGCGUGGGAAUCUGCCCUUUGGUUCGGAAUAACAGUGGAAACGACUGCUAAUACCGGAUGAUGACGACAGUCCAAAGAUUUAUCGCCAGAGGAGGAGCCCGCGUAGGUUUAGCUAGUUGGUGCGGUAAAGGCGCACCAAGGCGACGAUCCUUAGCUGGUCUGAGAGGAUAAUCAGCCACACUGGGACUGAGACACGGCCCAGACUCCUAGGGGAGGCAGCAGUGGGGAAUAUUGGACAAUGGGCGAAAGCCUGAUCCAGCAAUGCGGCGUGAGUGAUGAAGGCCUUAGGGGUGUAAAGCUCUUUUACCCGGGAUGAUAAUGACAGUACCGGGAGAAUAAGCUCCGGCUAACUCCGUGCCAGCCGCCGCAGUAA